RNAcentral lists this ribosomal RNA (400 nucleotides) under Physalaemus centralis (central dwarf frog). RNAcentral's name for it is "partial 16S ribosomal RNA". It matches the Rfam family "Bacterial large subunit ribosomal RNA", at positions 1967 to 2515 of the family's 2925-position model. Lineage: Eukaryota; Metazoa; Chordata; Amphibia; Anura; Leptodactylidae. The record is from RNAcentral.
ACUUGUUCUUUAAAUAAGGACUAGUAUGAAUGGCAUCACGAAGGUUAUACUGUCUCCCCUUUUUAAUCAGUGAAACUAAUCUCCCCGUGAAGAAGCGGGGAUAAAACUAUAAGACGAGAAGACCCUAUGGAGCUUUAGACUAAGCAACUUUUGUUAUUUUAACACUUACACCCUCCGGAAAUAUAACUAUAUUUUAUCAUAUUGAUUGCUUGUCUUAGGUUGGGGUGACCGCGGAGCACAACAUAACCUCCACAAUGAAAGAAACUUAAUUUCUUAGCCCAGAAUUACAAUUCUAAGUACCAAAAAUUUGACAUAAAUUGACCCAAUAAAUUGAUCAACGAACCAAGUUACCCUAGGGAUAACAGCGCAAUCUACUUCAAGAGCCCCUAUCGACAAGUAG